CGGAUGGGCCGGGAGAGCUGAAGUUUGCUGAGAUCUUCAACUAUCACGAGCAGACGACGGGGGGUCGUGAAUGUG
Molecule: non-coding RNA, 75 nt
Filed under: Hemiselmis andersenii
Lineage: Eukaryota; Cryptophyceae; Cryptomonadales; Hemiselmidaceae
Source: RNAcentral